GUGGUUCCUGGGUCUAAUUGCUGCUCCCCUCCCCGCACUUCAGGGCCCCCGUGGUUGUGUAGAGAGUCUGGAGGUGACCUGCAGACGGGCAGAUGCUGGAGAGAAGCCAAAGGCCUUUAUUCACUGGGUGUCACAGCCUUUGAUGUGUGAGGUUCGCCUCUAUGAGCGACUAUUCCAGCACAAGAACCCUGAAGAUCCUACUGAGGUGCCUGGUGGAUUUUUAAGUGACCUGAACCUGCUUGUCUUUAACCGAACUGUCACACUGAAGGAAGACCCGGGAAAGGUGUGAGCUGGAAACACUGAACCUACCUCAUCCUCCUGGAGGGUGGGGCUACCCUCGCUACCCCAAAUUCCAUGUCAAUAAAGAACAGCUAAAUUCUCCUAG
Molecule: small RNA, 385 nt
Filed under: Pongo abelii (Sumatran orangutan)
Lineage: Eukaryota; Metazoa; Chordata; Mammalia; Primates; Hominidae
Description: retained intron
Source: RNAcentral